RNAcentral lists this ribosomal RNA (460 nucleotides) under uncultured bacterium. RNAcentral describes it as "partial 16S ribosomal RNA". It matches the Rfam family "Bacterial small subunit ribosomal RNA", at positions 338 to 795 of the family's 1533-position model. The record is from RNAcentral.
CCUACGGGAGGCUGCAGUGAGGAAUAUUGGUCAAUGGGCGCGAGCCUGAACCAGCCAAGUAGCGUGAAGGAUGACUGCCCUACGGGCUGUAAACUUCUUUUUUAAAGGAAUAAAACGAGGCACGUGUGCCUUUUUGCAUGUACUUUAUGAAUAAGGAUCGGCUACCUCCGUGCCCGCACCCGCGGUAAUACGGAGGAUCCGAGCGUUAUCCGGAUUUAUUUGGUUUAAAGGGAGCGUAGAUGGGUUGUUAAGUCAGGUGUGAAAGUUUGCGGCUCAACCGUAAAAUUGCAAUUGAUACUGGCAGUCUUGAGUACAGUUGAGGUAGGCGGAAUUCGUGGUGUAGCGGUGAAAUGCUUAGAUAUCACGAAGAACCCCGAUUGCGAAGGCAGCUUACUAAACUGUGACUGACAUUGAUGCUCGAAAGUGUGGGUAGCAAACAGGAUUAGAUACCCGAGUAGUC